RNAcentral lists this long non-coding RNA (1174 nucleotides) under Olea europaea subsp. europaea. The record is from RNAcentral. Lineage: Eukaryota; Viridiplantae; Streptophyta; Magnoliopsida; Lamiales; Oleaceae.
AAAAAAGUUUACCCACCAUUCAAUUGAUAGACGGAUGAUCACUACAUUAAGCACGAGCAUCUUAAUAAGGUGAGGACGGAAGAGUGCAGCUUCAGUUGCCCUCGAACUAUUAUGGGGAAAUUAGGCCCUAUACUCUACAAAGUGACCCAAUUAGAUUAAUACUCUAAAUUACUUAAACAUUACAUAAACCCGUAUUUAUUACGUUCUAAAUUAAAACAAAACCCUCAAAUCUCAAAACCUCCCAACCGAGUACAGAGAUCACAAAUGCCCUGUACACUACUAUUGCAGUUGCCAUGUCGCUGCUACAGCGACAGUGAUGGUGCUACGUCGAUUAGGUUAAUGUCUCUGCUUUUCGUGUUUUGGUCGACGAGGGAUGGUGUGGUGAUGUCUAUUGGAAUAGCCAACACUAGAUUGGGUUUUUGUUGGCUAGGUGUGCGGCAGUGGACGAACUACUAUAGACGAUUGAGGUGCUAAGACGAGGGUGGUCGGAAGCCGGCUAAUUUAAGCGGCUCGCUAGAAAUGUUUUCUCGAGCUAUAUGGAAAGACCUACUCCAGGUGCGUUGUGUGAGUGCUGCCGUGAAAAUGGAUUUCAUUUAUGGAAUUGAAUGAUAUCAUUUAUGUUGACGCCACCAAUUUUUACAGUUACCUUAAACGUGGCAUAUUAAUCUACUGUGGAAUUUUUAAUAGCCAAUAUUUUCUUCAUCUUCUUUGUAUUUUGCUUUGGGGGCAAGCAGGAGAGAGAGAAAAAAGUGGAAAGCUUGGCUGCAAUAGGUAGAGAAAAGAGGUUUGCGAUGUGAAAUUCACAUAAAGACAUGAAACUUUAUGGUUGGACACAUUGCAACUGCUGCAAAAUUAGAUGAUGUGGAUCAAUAAAUUGUUGUUAAUUACUAAAUUCUUUGGAUCUCUAUCCCCAAGAAGAUGAAGCAUACACAGAUUUUGAAUGCAUUUUACUUAUUAUGAAGUACCUAACAGUUUUUCAUACUCUCUGCCUGAAAUGCAGGUUGUUAGUUGAUAUUGCAAAAAUGAGGCAAAAAAAAAAGGAGGCAGAAAUGGUUCUUUGAGGCUCGGAUAUUGAAGUGGUGGUGAUGGAGAAGAUGGAGUUGUAGAAGUUGAAUAAAAUGAUAUAACUUAAGGUUUUGACUAGUGUUUUGUCACUUUUUUUUUUUUUAAAAUU